GGCCAAACUGAGCCGGACCAGAUUGAAGAAGAAGCAGGCAGGGGGCUGGGUUAGUGACUGAAGUCUGAAUCUAUAUCUGAGUAGGGAGUCUGUUCCUCUAGCCUGGGGCUGGGACAGGGGUCGGGGGGUCUGUUUCUCUGAGCCUGGGACCAGAGCAAGGGCAAGGGCUCUGUUCUGAGCCUGAUUUGGGAAUGGGGCCAAGACUGCAGCCAGGGCUGGUCCAGGACUAGCUGAGUCCCGGACUCGGUCUAGUUCUGGAGCCGAGGCUGGCGUGGCUGGCUGCCCGCAGCGGUACCGUCCUGCAGCGGUACCGGUAGUGUAGUGUAGUGUAGUGUAGUGUAGUGUAGUGUAGUGCAGUAAGCGGGCCAAGAUGGCUCUACCAGAACCUGUGGAGUCCAGGGAGCCCAAGGUACCCAGGGUCACGAGGAGAAGGGAGAAACGGGGAGGAGGCGCCCUGGACUCGGCCGCCUUGGACUGACCAGUGCUGUAGGUGCUGGGGGAGGGGAAGGAGAGAAAGGGCUGCAGGCGGGCGUCGUUGUGCCAGGGCAGGAAGGGGCGGAGUUGGGCUCGGGGGGAGUACCGCUCCCAGACUCGGAUGAAACUAGUUGCCCGUAGCCAGGGUGGCAUCAGAGGAAGGAGGCAGACUCUGAACUGCGCUGGGGCUAAGUCGUGCGCAGAAAGACUGACUCGGUCCGACCAGGCUGUCCUGCAGGCUGAGAAUGCCAAGAACCAUGUGGGUCUUCCUCCCUGUCCUGCUGAGCACCCUGCUUUGUGUACAGCCAGCUCACAGUCUCCGUUGCUAUAACUGUACAGCGGCAACGAAAUCCAGUCAAUGCAACUCUGUUGAGUGCUCCGUGUCAGAAACUCGCUGUGGGAGUAUUAAAGUUGCAGAUAAAGAUGGACCAGGGAACAAAAUGCUGUAUUUCAAGGGUUGUACUAAUACUUCCUGUGGAGAGUUUUUCAUGAAAUUAUGGGGCAAGGCCAAUAAAGAGAUCCCCCCAUCUCUUAUAGAAGUGGAUUAUAGCUGCUGUUCGAAGGAACUGUGUAACGGGGUAGAUGGGAUCAGAGGCAGCCCCUUGGCCCUGAUAGGGAUCCUCCUGCUCAGCCUCGGACCUGCCUUCUGGGCCAUGCUGUGA
Molecule: long non-coding RNA, 1136 nt
Filed under: Vombatus ursinus (common wombat)
Lineage: Eukaryota; Metazoa; Chordata; Mammalia; Diprotodontia; Vombatidae
Description: lncRNA (ENSVURG00010004821.1)
Source: RNAcentral